Ribosomal RNA from Gopherus agassizii (Agassiz's desert tortoise), 118 nucleotides. Lineage: Eukaryota; Metazoa; Chordata; Testudines; Testudinidae. The record is from Ensembl.
UUCUGGAGCUGUACCACUUUGCAAGGCAAUCCCUUCAGAUCUCACAAGCUAAGCAGGAUCAAGUCAUGUCAAUGCUUGGAUAGGAGACCUCUUGAGAAAACACAAGGUACUGCAGACA